GAAGGUAUAGCCCAGUAGUAGAGAGCAUGCUUACAGUACACAUGGUCCUGGGUUCAAUGCCCAGUACCUCCA
RNAcentral lists this transfer RNA (72 nucleotides) under Camelus bactrianus (Bactrian camel). It matches the Rfam family "tRNA". From Rfam's summary of the family: Transfer RNA (tRNA) molecules are approximately 80 nucleotides in length. Their secondary structure includes four short double-helical elements and three loops (D, anti-codon, and T loops). RNAcentral also lists the same sequence under 2 other names. The record is from Rfam by way of RNAcentral. Lineage: Eukaryota; Metazoa; Chordata; Mammalia; Artiodactyla; Camelidae.